This is a non-coding RNA of Ceratotherium simum simum (southern white rhinoceros), 869 nucleotides long. The record is from RefSeq and is a predicted model, not a curated record. NCBI's taxonomy places the organism in Eukaryota, Metazoa, Chordata, Mammalia, Perissodactyla, Rhinocerotidae.
GCCCUGGGCCAGGAGUACGCCACAUUGCACUGCAGAUCAGUGGUUCAUCUGAGCCUCCUGGGUCUACUUUCUUAUUCCUCGUAAAGCUUUCUGAAGAGAGCUUUGUAAUCUCAUUAUGACAAGGUUUCCCACGUGGCUGGGAAGGUAGCCUCAUGGAACAUGAAGGAGGACCUGGAGAUAUUGAUGUCUUUGGAAUGAGCAGAGAUAAUAGCCAAAUACAAUCAGCAAAAACACCAAGAGCUUGGAUGAGUGAGUGGACAAGUAGGUGAAGACGUUGAGGAAGUGGAAUAAAUACCAUGGCAGUGGUGAGUUAGAGACCUGAACACUUGGCAGGUGGCAUGCUGUCCUGACCUCAAAGGAUGAUGGGCCUGGGUCCCCAGGGCAGCCCGCAGCCACCCGCCCACACCACGAGGGUCACCUCACCUGGAGAGGAUCUGAGGCCAGAGCCAGGGCCACCUCAGGCCCAGGGCCCCGUAGGGAGGGAUAAGCGGGGACCAUUGUCCACAACGUCCCUUGCAGCCUCGUCCACUCCUAGUUGUGGGAGACGGGGCCCAGUUCUAGGCAGACCCAACCUCUCCUGAGAAACCAUGGAGCCAAAUGCUAGAAUCUUCCAGAUGCCUCGUGCUCCAUCUCCUCUAUGGUGUCACCCUGUGGCCUGUUUCACCAGAGCUGCUUCUUUCCCGUAGAUGCAUCGAUGGAUCUAUAAAGGGAUCCCCCCACAGGUGCGGGGUCAGUGUGGUCUCUUCUGUUGGCUAUUGAGAAAGUGGAGGUGGAGAAUGAAGGAAUAUAUGAGGUAUGACCCUUCUAUACUCGGCACAGGCAGUGCUAACAGGCCAGGCCUUGUCAGGAGCUUAUGGGGAGCCUGGCGG